GAUGAAGAACGUAGCGAAAUGCGAUACUUGGUGUGAAUUGCAGAAUCCCGUGAACCAUCGAGUCUUUGAACGCAAGUUGCGCCCGAAGCCUCGGCUAAGGGCACGUCUGCCUGGGCGUCACGCAUCGCGUCUCCCCCAAACCGCCAAGGCGGAGGGGAAGGAAGAUGGCUUCCCGUGCCUCACCCGGGCGCGGUUGGCCUAAAUUUGGAGCCCGCGGCACUUAGCUCUCGCGGCGAUAGGUGGUGAACAAGGCCUUGGCCGUGCAAACAACCCGCUGCGAAGCUCUAUGUCACGUGCGCUCGUCGGACCCUUUGAAGUUGCCUUUGGUGACUUAAAACCUUUGCGACCCCAGGUCAGUCGGGGCUACCCGCUGAAUUUAAGCAUAUCAAUAAGCGGAGGA
RNAcentral lists this unclassified non-coding RNA (400 nucleotides) under soil metagenome. RNAcentral describes it as "partial contains 5.8S ribosomal RNA, internal transcribed spacer 2, and large subunit ribosomal RNA". The stretch from base 1 to 120 matches the Rfam family "5.8S ribosomal RNA", at positions 35 to 154 of the family's 154-position model. The record is from RNAcentral.